Molecule: long non-coding RNA, 5123 nt
Organism: Peromyscus californicus insignis
Lineage: Eukaryota; Metazoa; Chordata; Mammalia; Rodentia; Cricetidae
Exons: 2
Source: RefSeq, a predicted model, not a curated record
GGUACUCUAUCCUCCACAUGUGUGCUGUAGCAAGUAUGCUGCCACAUGCAUGUACAUAUAGGCAAGAAUAAUAAAUACAAGAAGAUUGGUUUAAACAAAAGUGGUAGCAGAGGGAAAACAGAUGAGCUACUGGGUUUAUUUGAAAGCAUUGCUAGCUGGCAGGACUUGAUACUUGAUGGAUAUAGGUUCUGAGGGGGUGAGGAUAAAGAUGAAUCUGUCUUUUGAUUGAACAACUCCAAGAUGGCUCAUCACUGUUAGAGAGGAAACAAGGGGUAAUUUGCAGAGUAAAAUCAAGAGUUGUUUUUUUUUUUUAACUUGGUUUAUGGUGCAGAGCAUUAAACUGAUAACCUUGUACAUGCUAGACAAGUACUACACUCCUAUCCUAGCCUCUGAGAAUUUGAUUCUAUCAGGGUUAGAAAGAAUAGAGAGGAAGUACACAGUUACACACAUGUGUAAGGAGUGGAUGAAGAGUUAAGACGGGAAUAUAGCUAGUGGUAGCCUGCUUCUGACCUAGCUUGCUGGCAUGGACAGGGCUUCAGGUUCAGAUUCCAGUAGCAGGGUAAAGGAGCGUUUGAUGUAGUUGCAUUUGCCAUGCUCAUACACCUGUAAGUCCAGGAAAAGAGGGUCACAAGUCUCAACCAAAUGGCACAUUGGAAGUCAGCCAGGAUUCUUUGCGACUCUGCCUCCAAAACAAACAAGCAAACAAACAAACAAACACACAAAAAAAACCAUUUCAAAGGCAGAACACUAGGGCACUCAGGCAUGCAGAGGAUGAGGAAAUAAAACUAACAAAGAAAGAUCCCGGUGGUCUGCUUUCAGAGGUGUUGGGUGGAGACUGCAGAAGGAAGGAGUGGUCCCCUAUUUCAAAGAAUCUGAAGUCCCUGUGGGACAGUUUGUUCAAGGAAAACUAGGAAAGGAGAAUUUUGUUUGUGUUGAUUCUUAGAACCAUUUAAUAAGAUUACAGAUUUAAGUUUUAGGUCCCUCUACCCUUUGUACUAUUUUAACAUAGAAUUAGACCAUUAUAGCUAAUGCCCCAGUGGCAGAAGAUCCAUUCUGUCUGGCAGUGAGCUAUUGGCACUACUGAAUUUCUAAUUAUCAGUAACCUUUUGACAGUUACCAGGUAGGAAUUGUGACCCUUCAUUGUGGAUGUAACGGUCUUACUAAAUAAGAAACACAGAGCCAAAUGCAGAGUUAAAAGCCCAAGAGGUCAGAGCAGUAGCUAAGAGCUGAGACUAAAACCCUUUCUUACCCCUCACUGCUGCCGCUGCCGUCCUUCCCCUCUGAAAGAGACCUACUUCCUGUGUAUCUGUCUUUUUAUUGACUUUCUGUUCUGCCUUCUCAUUGGUUGUAAGCCCAACCAUAUGACCUCCUCGACACUGCCUGUCUAUACAGACCUGCAGGUCUCUAUGGUUGGUAUUGAGAUUAAAGGCGUGUGUCUCCAUGCUGGUGGUGUCCUUGAACACACAGAGAUCUGCCUGUCAUGUGAUUGGGAUUAAGGGUGUGUGCUACCACUGCCAGACUUCUGCUAUGGCUUGCUAUUAGCUCUGACCCCCAGGCACUUUCAUUUAUUAACAUACAAAUAAAAUAUCACCAUGCUUCAUUCCAUUUGUGAGACUAUGGUACCAGCCCUUUGGCUGUAAACUAAGAAUACAAAUGUCCACAUUAACCAUUGUUUGGGUAUUUAAGAAUAUAAAUGUAUAUCUGAACUAAUUAAGGUAUUUUUUUUUUAGGAAUAUGAAGCCAUCUACUUAGCAAAAUUAACAAUACAGAUGAUGUCACCACUCCAGAUAGAAAGGUCCUUAUCUGUUCAUUCUGGUACCACAGGUAGUUUGAAGAGAACACAUGAAGAAGAGGAUGAUUUUGGAAACAUGCAAGUGGCAGCAGCACAGAAUGGCUGACCUCUGAGGACUGUUCCACAGAUGUGAAUUUCUAUUUGGAAAGGAGAGAAUCCUAGUGAUAAUUGUAAAGUGGUAAAAACACAAAUAGUUUCUUUUCAAUUAUAUGUUGCUUCCAGACAUGUUUCUCUGCAACUUGUUGAGCAACACUUUAAGAUGUUGGACUUCUACAGUAGAUGGCGCUGAUGGGUGAUGGGUUUACUUUACAAACAAAACAAAACAAAAAAACCACUUUACGGUUUUAUUGUAAACCAAGAAUUUGGACUUGCAAAGAGGUAUUAUUGCAAUAAUGCACUUUUCAUACUUGAAAUUUAUUUGUAUGAUAUAAAGUUAUUACUUAGAGCAAAAUGCAAGUUAGGGGGACUUGUUUAUAAAUUUUGGAUAAUUUAUAACAAAUUUCCUAAUGUUUCCUAAAAACUCAUUUUGUGUUAUAUAUAUUACAUUUAAAGUAAUUUUACAGUUCAAUUUUCUGAUGGAGCCUCUUACAGAAACAUUAACAAAAUGUAGAACUCUUUCACAUUUUUUAAUAUAAUUCAGUAACUUAUUUACCAUUUUUUGAAAUUUCUUAGUCCCUUACUUUUAAAUCAUGACUUUCGCCAACUAUCCUACUUUACUAAUCCAAUGAAUACCUCCUUUCCACUUGCCUUCCUUAUUCUAAACAAGAAAAAAAAGUUGUAAUGAUCAAAGAAAGAGGUCUUACUUUCCAAAACCAGAUACUCAAAUAUAAGGGUAGUGUUCUAUUUCCAUCUCCAUUUUUUUCUUUUUGUUGUUUGUUUAAGCCAAAUGUUGACUCGGUCUUUUCAAAGUUGCCUAGCCCUUUUUACCUAUGUCUAAAAUGGUUCAAAGUAGACUCUUAAGAAACCAAACCAAUGUAGCACUGUUUCUUCAAUAUGAAACCCCCAAAAGAAAAGUGCCUUGAAUCAACAAUUAAAUCCUCAUGACCUCUAAAUUAGUAUCUAGAGCAGUGAAAAGCUAUUAACAUUUUCUGUAAUCUGUUUUUAAACCAUAAAUUAAACUGAAUCUGUGAAGCUUGAAGAAAGUCAAUGAUUUGGAAGGAGACAUUUAUUUCUUCAUUUCAUGUUGUCUUGCUUCUGUGAGGUUGUUCAGCUGACAGCUUUGCUUAGGAGAUUCAUUGGAUAAAGCAGUUUGUGGAUGGCUUCAGGGUAUUGUAAAUUACUGUUUUGACUUGUUCUUAAAUUCAUUCAAGUUUACCCCAUAAUUUGCAUUAGCUAAGUAACUUUAUGGCUCUUUAGUUUUCCAUGUUUUUAUCUAUAUGUAUAAAAGUUGUUCUACAAACCCCAUUUUGCUAUUUUAAGUGUGAUGUGCAGAAGAGAGAAGUGUUUUUAACUUUUUGUAUCUGAUGACUUUAGGGUAGCACAAACCUAGCUCCUUUAUAGUUGACAUUUCUCAGUCCUCUCUGGAGGUGCUUUCCUGUUGGGACUGAGAGCUGUCCAUUUCCAGGGUACCGUGAGACACUGUGCAGGCAGCCUGUCAGACUUAGUUACUGUAACAGUACAGAGAAGGCUCUGUCCUGCACAGUGGGAGCCUGACUAUAAACCAGAGUUACUCUUUACUAGAGGAAAUUCCUCUUCGGAGUUUGCAUCCCAUCUCCUACCUUUCCCCCCAAAACCAGCAUUGGGAUCCACUAUUCUGUUGUGUCACUGGUGUGCUGGGCUAGUGGAGUCAGGAUUACAUUCGGCGUUCAAAACUUCCUAUGUACUCACCAUCACUGGACAGGUCAACAAAAGAUCUCUCUUGCAGUCAACUCAUAAUCUAUGACUCACUGAACAGAGAUUGUGCUUCAAGUCAUCUCCAUAUAAAAUGACUUUUCAAGAUGAGACAUUUGAAAUAUUCUUAAGUUUCAUAAAAAUACAUACUCUUCUUUAGGAGUCUGGCCAAAAUUACAGAGUAGGCUAUUGAUAGUCAUUUGUAGCUGGUAAUCUUCCAUUUUUCUAACCAGUCAUUUUUAUGUUCUCACGUGAAGUGCCUAUCCAGCACGAUAUACUGGAGAUAGUCUCAGACAUUGGGACUGCCAUCAUGUUGAGCACAGUUGAUGUGAACAGUGAGGUUCCUUCUUUCCUAAGAAGCCUGCAAGUUUCUUGUUUUCUUCCACUGUGUUUACUAAGUAGCUGUCUUAGGUUCCGUUUCCAGUGAUGUUUUGUACCAGCCAACUGUGAUAAACUUAACCAAUCAUGUCUUGUUCUCUAGAACUGAAUAAUGAAUGUCCACCCAGUUUCAGCAGUAAAUUUGUAAUCUGGGUUCAGAAUUAAAAGUACAUUCUUAUCAAAACAUAGGGAACUUCAUUAUCCUCAUUUUGAAAGUUUUGAGAUAGAUACUGGAAACUUUGGAGUGGGGGUGGGUCUUCUCUUAGUUUCACUGGUUCCUGUUAAUUUCUUGUCUAGUAGAUGUUGACUUGUACCAACUCUGUGGUAGGAAUGUUCAAGUGUGAUAGCUUUGCUAUGAACUUUCAACCACUAGUAGGGCAGAAAAUUCAUUUGCAGGGGUAUGGGGUUGUGCUUAAUCUGAGUCUAGAAGUAAUGUCAGAAAAUGCUAAGCAUGUCCUUUGUAAGAAAACAUAAGGUUCCUAAUUGUUUAAUUACUAUGGUAAUUCAAACUAAUUAGAAGUUUUUAAGUGCAAUCUUGAAUUAUGAAGUUGAGAUGUAUAUAUUAGGAUCUCAAUUUGAUGUAAAGUAAAUGAGCAGUUACCUGACGGAUUUUUCUUUUAAACUGGUUUAAUCCAUGAGCCUAAAGCAUAGCUUCACUUCAGUAUUUACGUUAUCUUUGUCCAUUCAACAACACUCCAAUAAGGAAAUGAUAGGAAAUAGCUGAGUCUUACUCAAGGAUUUUAUUUAUUUUUUUAAUUAGGAAAAUAAGUUUCUAGAGUCUUGAGUGCUGGGUAUUCUUUGUCUUUCCCAUUCAUGGCAGCUAAAGAAAAAAAAGAAUCACUCAAAAUAUUCAGGUUUACAUGUUAAGCUCUCUCACAGGGAGCUGCCAUACCUCACAGUUCAAAGUGUUUUUUCAAUCAAUAACAUGAUACUGACAUGUAAUUGCAAAAAUGAUUCAAGAAAAAUAACAUACAGUGUCUCUUUACCUCUGUAUAGGCAAUGGCUUACGUUACUCUGCUUUUAACAUUUGUACUCAGAUGAAAUGCUUCUGUAUGUAUAGGAAUGUCACAGAUGCAAGAUGCUGCUAGCCUGGGCACAAAGUAUUAAAAUUAUUUUGUGAAGA